Molecule: ribosomal RNA, 773 nt
Filed under: Ligilactobacillus salivarius
Lineage: Bacteria; Bacillati; Bacillota; Bacilli; Lactobacillales; Lactobacillaceae
Description: bacterial SSU rRNA
Rfam family: Bacterial small subunit ribosomal RNA
Source: RNAcentral
ACGCUGCGGCGUGCUAUACAUGCAAGUCGAACGAAACUUUCUUACACCGAAUGCUUGCAUUCACCGUAAGAAGUUGAGUGGCGGACGGGUGAGUAACACGUGGGUAACCUGCCUAAAAGAAGGGGAUAACACUUGGAAACAGGUGCUAAUACCGUAUAUCUCUAAGGAUCGCAUGAUCCUUAGAUGAAAGAUGGUUCUGCUAUCGCUUUUAGAUGGACCCGCGGCGUAUUAACUAGUUGGUGGGGUAACGGCCUACCAAGGUGAUGAUACGUAGCCGAACUGAGAGGUUGAUCGGCCACAUUGGGACUGAGACACGGCCCAAACUCCUACGGGAGGCAGCAGUAGGGAAUCUUCCACAAUGGACGCAAGUCUGAUGGAGCAACGCCGCGUGAGUGAAGAAGGUCUUCGGAUCGUAAAACUCUGUUGUUAGAGAAGAACACGAGUGAGAGUAACUGUUCAUUCGAUGACGGUAUCUAACCAGCAAGUCACGGCUAACUACGUGCCAGCAGCCGCGGUAAUACGUAGGUGGCAAGCGUUGUCCGGAUUUAUUGGGCGUAAAGGGAACGCAGGCGGUCUUUUAAGUCUGAUGUGAAAGCCUUCGGCUUAACCGGAGUAGUGCAUUGGAAACUGGAAGACUUGAGUGCAGAAGAGGAGAGUGGAACUCCAUGUGUAGCGGUGAAAUGCGUAGAUAUAUGGAAGAACACCAGUGGCGAAAGCGGCUCUCUGGUCUGUAACUGACGCUGAGGUUCGAAAGCGUGGGUAGCAACAGGAUA